GAUGAAGAACGUAGCGAAAUGCGAUAAGUAAUGUGAAUUGCAGAAUUCAGUGAAUCAUCGAAUCUUUGAACGCACAUUGCGCCCAUUAGUAUUCUAGUGGGCAUGCCUGUUCGAGCGUCAUUAAGUCCACUUAAGCCUAGCUUAGUGUUGGGAGACUGCUCCAGUGGUGCUACCCUGUAGCUACCCUGCAGCUCCUUAAAGACAGCGGCGGAGUCGUGUUAUCCUCUGAGCUUAGUAAAUCAUUCUAGCUUUCGAGAGUAUCACUUCACCUGCCGUUAAACCACCUAAUUUUUAUAGUUGACCUCGGAUCAGGUAGGAAUACCCGCUGAACUUAAGCAUAUCAAUAAGCGGAGA
Molecule: unclassified non-coding RNA, 354 nt
Filed under: soil metagenome
Description: partial contains 5.8S ribosomal RNA, internal transcribed spacer 2, and large subunit ribosomal RNA
Rfam family: 5.8S ribosomal RNA (bases 1-120)
Source: RNAcentral